UCAAGGACGUUACAUCAGAAGGACUGUGGACGUAGUUAACACCCCGCUGCGCCCAUUGUUUCGCCGUGCGAAAUCCCGCUGCCUUUCUUUGUGCCCGCCCCGCCGCGGUAUUUCUUUGUAUAGAACGUCCGGUGCGGGUUUUCGCGGGGUUUUGCUGGAAAUUACAUAUUAAUGAGCAACGCUAUGACGUCAGAUAGCCCGAGCCGUCCCGAGGACUCGCUCGGAAUCCAGCUGUUUUCCGACUAUUUCCUUAUUUGGGGAGCGUUUCUGUCAUGCGCAGAAGUCUGCAUCUUUUAGAGAAAGAAAUGGCGGACAUUUUGGUGUUUAUCUGAUCGUCGUAGGACAAUCAUGGGUCGCAAACUGCUGGGGAAGGGAAGGCCACUCAAUCGACGUCAUAGAGCAUACAGCUUUGCCGAAAAGGCCAUAUAGUCUGAAUAAAAAAAUUCACGCAACUGAA
This is a long non-coding RNA of Branchiostoma floridae (Florida lancelet), 457 nucleotides long. RefSeq lists it as uncharacterized. The transcript has 2 exons. The record is from RefSeq and is a predicted model, not a curated record. NCBI's taxonomy places the organism in Eukaryota, Metazoa, Chordata, Leptocardii, Amphioxiformes, Branchiostomatidae.